CCUACGGGCGGCAGCAGUGAGGAAUAUUGGUCAAUGGACGAGAGUCUGAACCAGCCAAGUAGCGUGAAGGAUGACUGCCCUAUGGGUUGUAAACUUCUUUUAUAUGGGAAUAAAACGUUCCACGUGUGGGAUUUUGUAUGUACCAUAUGAAUAAGGAUCGGCUAACUCCGUGCCAGCAGCCGCGGUAAUACGGAGGAUCCGAGCGUUUUCCGGAUUUAUUGGGUUUAAAGGGAGCGUAGGUGGAUUGUUAAGUCAGUUGUGAAAGUUUGCGGCUCAACCGUAAAAUUGCAGUUGAAACUGGCAGUCUUGAGUACAGUAGAGGUGGGCGGAAUUCGUGGUGUAGCGGUGAAAUGCUUAGAUAUCACGAAGAACUCCGAUUGCGAAGGCAGUUCACUGGACUGCAACUGACACUGAGGCUCGAAAGUGUGGGUAUCAAACAGGAUUAGAUACCCCGGUAGUC
RNAcentral lists this ribosomal RNA (460 nucleotides) under uncultured bacterium. Its description in RNAcentral is "partial 16S ribosomal RNA". It matches the Rfam family "Bacterial small subunit ribosomal RNA", at positions 338 to 795 of the family's 1533-position model. The record is from RNAcentral.